Molecule: ribosomal RNA, 365 nt
Filed under: uncultured bacterium
Lineage: Bacteria
Description: bacterial SSU rRNA
Rfam family: Bacterial small subunit ribosomal RNA
Source: RNAcentral
UAACCGAAACCGGGUAAACGGUUGACUUAACUACCGCAAUUAAUGCAGGCGGCCACCGACGAAGGUGACUAGUUAGUUAAAGUAUUUAUCGCUUGAGGAGGAGCUUGCGGCAGAUUAGCUAGUUGGUAGGGUAACGGCUUACCAAGGCUACGAUCUGUAACCGGUCUAAGAGGACGGUCGGUCACACUGACACUGAAUAACGGGUCAGACUCCUACGGGAGGCAGCAGGUCGGGUAAUUUUGGGCAAUGGGCGAAAGCCUGACCCAGCAACGCCGCGUGAAGGAUGAAGUAUUUCGGUAUGUAAACUUCGAAAGAAUAGGAAGAAUUAAUGACGGUACUAUUUAUAAGGUCCGGCUAACUACGUG